GCUGCGAUGGCCGAGUGGUUAAGGCAUUGGAGUCGAAAUCCAAAAGGGUUCCCCUGCGCAGGUUUGAAUCUUGCUCACAGCG
This is a non-coding RNA of Chelonia mydas (Green sea turtle), 82 nucleotides long. The record is from Rfam. NCBI's taxonomy places the organism in Eukaryota, Metazoa, Chordata, Testudines, Cheloniidae.